Molecule: ribosomal RNA, 429 nt
Filed under: Bacteroidota bacterium
Lineage: Bacteria; Pseudomonadati; Bacteroidota
Description: Bacteroidetes bacterium partial 16S ribosomal RNA
Rfam family: Bacterial small subunit ribosomal RNA
Source: RNAcentral
UAGGGAAUCUUCCGCAAUGGACGCAAGUCUGACGGAGCAACGCCGCGUGAGUGAAGAAGGAUUUCGGUUCGUAAAACUCUGUUGUUAGAGAAGAACAGCGCAUAGAGUAACUGUUAUGCGUGUGACGGUAUCUAACCAGAAAGCCACGGCUAACUACGUGCCAGCAGCCGCGGUAAUACGUAGGUGGCAAGCGUUGUCCGGAUUUAUUGGGCGUAAAGCGAGCGCAGGCGGUCAAUUAAGUCUGAUGUGAAAGCCCCCGGCUCAACCGGGGGGGGUCAUUGGAAACUGGUUGACUUGAGUGCAGAAGAGGGGAGUGGAAUUCCAUGUGUAGCGGUGAAAUGCGUAGAUAUAUGGAGGAACACCAGUGGCGAAGGCGACUCUCUGGUCUGUAACUGACGCUGAGGUUCGAAAGCGUGGGUAGCAAACAGG